AGGGCUGGCCGGGCGACCGCGUUCGCUCCCUCGGGAGCGGCCGAGGAAGGUCCGGGCUCCACAGGGCAGGGUGGUCGCUAGCGGCGACCCGGGGUGACCCGCGGGACAGUGCCACAGAGAACAGACCGCCUGGCAACAGGUAAGGGUGAAACGGUGGUGCAAGAGACCACCAGUACGCCGGGUGACCGGCGUAGCUAGGUAAACCCCACCCGGAGCAAGUUCAAACAGUGUGUGCGACCGGUUCGCCGGUCAGAAGGCGGCCCGCCGGAGCACACGGGUAGAGCGCUCGAGCCUGUCGGCAACGGCAGGCCUAGAUGGAUGGUCGCCAGCCGGUCGGUCGUGAGGCCGGCCGGGGAACAGAACCCGGCCUAUGAGCCAGCCCUUCCG
RNAcentral lists this RNase P RNA (387 nucleotides) under Nocardioides jiangxiensis. RNAcentral describes it as "RNase P RNA component class A". It matches the Rfam family "Bacterial RNase P class A". Rfam says of the family: Ribonuclease P (RNase P) is a ubiquitous endoribonuclease, found in archaea, bacteria and eukarya as well as chloroplasts and mitochondria. Its best characterised activity is the generation of mature 5'-ends of tRNAs by cleaving the 5'-leader elements of precursor-tRNAs. The record is from RNAcentral. Lineage: Bacteria; Bacillati; Actinomycetota; Actinomycetes; Propionibacteriales; Nocardioidaceae.